RNAcentral lists this unclassified non-coding RNA (303 nucleotides) under plant metagenome. Its description in RNAcentral is "partial contains 5.8S ribosomal RNA, internal transcribed spacer 2, and large subunit ribosomal RNA". The stretch from base 1 to 105 matches the Rfam family "5.8S ribosomal RNA", at positions 50 to 154 of the family's 154-position model. The record is from RNAcentral.
GAAAUGCGAUAAGUAAUGUGAAUUGCAGAAUUCAGUGAAUCAUCGAAUCUUUGAACGCACAUUGCGCCCGCCAGUAUUCUGGCGGGCAUGCCUGUUCGAGCGUCAUUUCAACCAUCAAGCCCCGCGCUUGUGUUGGGGACCUGCGGCUGCCGCAGGCCCUGAAAACCAGUGGCGGGCUCGCUGUCACACCGGGCGUAGUAGAUUUUAUCUCGCUCAGUGCGUGCUGCGGGUUCCGGCCGUUAAAAAGCCUUUUUUACCCAAGGUUGACCUCGGAUCAGGUAGGAAGACCCGCUGAACUUAAGC